This 24-nucleotide non-coding RNA is filed under the name Arabidopsis thaliana (thale cress). The record is from RNAcentral. Lineage: Eukaryota; Viridiplantae; Streptophyta; Magnoliopsida; Brassicales; Brassicaceae.
GGUUUCGGGCCUGGGAGGAUUACG